This 76-nucleotide transfer RNA is filed under the name Aestuariimicrobium kwangyangense. It matches the Rfam family "tRNA". Rfam says of the family: Transfer RNA (tRNA) molecules are approximately 80 nucleotides in length. Their secondary structure includes four short double-helical elements and three loops (D, anti-codon, and T loops). Further hydrogen bonds mediate the characteristic L-shaped molecular structure. tRNAs have two regions of fundamental functional importance: the anti-codon, which is responsible for specific mRNA codon recognition, and the 3' end, to which the tRNAs corresponding amino acid is attached (by aminoacyl-tRNA synthetases). tRNAs cope with the degeneracy of the genetic code in two manners: having more than one tRNA (with a specific anti-codon) for a particular amino acid; and 'wobble' base-pairing, i.e. permitting non-standard base-pairing at the 3rd anti-codon position. The record is from RNAcentral. Lineage: Bacteria; Bacillati; Actinomycetota; Actinomycetes; Propionibacteriales; Propionibacteriaceae. RNAcentral also lists the same sequence under 4 other names.
GUCCCCAUCGUCUAGCGGCCCAGGACACCGCCCUUUCAAGGCGGCAGCGCGGGUUCGAAUCCCGUUGGGGAUACCA